UUCCCUUUCUCGGUUAUUAGGAUACGAGUUGUCUUACUUGAUUAUCCGAGUAUUCGUCAUCCAUUCAAAACACCUUAAUUAUCAUCAAAUCCUUUUACUAUUAAGGAUGAAACAAAAAGCGGUCUAGAGUCUCCUAUUCCCUUUCCCGAUUAUUAGGAUACGAGUUAUUUUACUCGACUAUCCGAGUAAUCGUCACCCAACCAAAAACAUCUC
This 213-nucleotide long non-coding RNA is filed under the name Lathyrus oleraceus (garden pea). Its description in RNAcentral is "Pisum sativum (pea) long non-coding RNA (PSAT_LNC005775)". The record is from RNAcentral. Lineage: Eukaryota; Viridiplantae; Streptophyta; Magnoliopsida; Fabales; Fabaceae.